GCGCGGGUGGCGGAACUGGUAGACGCACUGGAUUUAGGUUCCAGCGGAGCAAUCCGUGGGGGUUCGAGUCCCCCCUCGCGCACCA
RNAcentral lists this transfer RNA (85 nucleotides) under Thiocapsa marina. It matches the Rfam family "tRNA". Rfam says of the family: Transfer RNA (tRNA) molecules are approximately 80 nucleotides in length. RNAcentral also lists the same sequence under 10 other names. Lineage: Bacteria; Pseudomonadati; Pseudomonadota; Gammaproteobacteria; Chromatiales; Chromatiaceae. The record is from RNAcentral.